UAACACCCACGGCCCUUCUGGCUGUGCUGGAGGGGCAGGGGGAACCACAACACCCGCGUUUGCCAUGGGCCGGCUACCGAGGGCCGAGGUCCCGGCGUUCCCCUCGCACGGGUGAACGAACGCUGGGGCCGAGUUGGGAGCGAACGCCGUGUCCACAUUCUUCAGCCCGAGCCGGGAACAUCAGCUCCUGUCCCGACGCCAAGGGCUGCAUUCCUCCCUGAUGCUGCUCCCAAAAAUGCCGGCCCGGGACGGUGCCACUGGGUCGAGGAAGGGGCUUGGGGUGGCUGCUGGUGGCACGUGGCAGGGCCGGGCAGGGGCUGGCGGGCAGUGCGGCCCCGCGUGUUUACCGAGCAGCGGUGCUGGCCGCAGGGAGAGGCAGGAAUUCGCUCCCCGCCAGGACCCCAAGGGCAGGCGGGCGGACCCGGGGAAUUCGCUCCUCCAGCCGGUUGCCAUGGCUGCAUAUUUCAGAGGAGCAAGCAAAGGGAAAAAAAAAAAAAAAAAAAAAAAAAAGGAAAAAAAGAAAACCAAAACGUUUUCUUGGGAGGGAAGAAAAAUAGCAGGGGGAAAAAAUGCAGAAGAGUAAUGAGAAGGACUAGAGAGGCCAAGAAAUGCAUGAGGUCAUCCUUAGAAACUGGUGUCGGAGGAGUUCUCUGUAGCUCGGGCUACUCUAAUAUUUAUUGUGUGUUGUUCAAACCCUGGCUCCUGGCACCGGCCGUGGAGCCCUUCAGGAGCUCCACCACACCAUGGGCCCUUCCGAAACCUCGUGAAGAGCUGGGGCUGGGCUCCGGGAGCGGUGGAGGGCGGCUGGCAGGGAGCCCAUGGGGGUGGCAGGAGGGCAGCGGGGCUCGGCUGGCCACGUUGUCCUGGUGGGCACCCAGGUGGCUGUGAGCCAGCAGCGUGCCCGUGUCCCAGAGCAUGCCAAGGAGUUCGGCAAAGCCCCGAGAGCAAGCCGAGGGCAUCCUGCCCCUCUGCUCGGCACUGGGGAGGCCACAGCUGGGUGCCACAGCCAAGCCUGGGCCCCCCAGCACAAGACAGAGCCGGGCACGCCAGAGGGAGCCCAGGGAAGGUCACCGAGCUGCUGGAGGGCCUGGAGCCCCUCUGCUGCGAGGAGAGGCUGCGGGAGCUGGGGCUGGAGCAGGGGAGGGCUGGGGGAGCCCACCCGUGCCCAUGGGUGCCUGCGGGGAGCUGCGGGUGGGACAGAGCCGGGCUCCUUGUGGUGGUGCCCAGGGACAGGGCAAGGGGCAGUGGGCACAGACCCAAGCAGAGGGGGUUCCCUCAGGGCAUUAGGGACAUGGAGGGGGCCCAGGAACGGGCCCAGGCUGCCCAGGGGGGUGCAGGGGGCUCCUCCGCCCAGGGCCGGGGCUGCCCACGCGUGGCACGGCCGGGCCCGGCCCCACGCUCGCUCCCAGGCCGGGCGGGCACUGCCACCUAGCGGCCCCUGCCCGCUGGGGACCCGCCGGGCCUCGGGCUGGUUUUGGGGUUUUUUUGUUAAUUAAGGAAUGUGUUUUAUUCAUUAAGGAACGUGUUUUUGCUGGCUGGUCUCAUUCCGCGCCCGGCGACGGCCUUGCUGCCCAGGUGGGAAACAAAACGUGCGAGUGAGGGGUAGGAACUGAUUCUGGGGUUGUUGGACACUGGAACAGGCUGCCCAGGGAGGUGGUGGAGUCACCAUCCCUGGAAGUCUUUAAAAGACGUUUAGAUGUAGAGCUUAGGGAUAUGGUUUAGUGGGAACUGUUAGCGUUACGUCAGAGGUUGGACUCGAUGAUCUUGAGGUCUCUUCCAACCUAGAAAUUCUGUGAUUCUAGGAAAUCUGUUGCCCUCUCCAGGAGGGAUUGUUAACACGCGAUGCCAAUAUUAUCAAAAUAACCACAGUUUUGAAAGCAAGAGGCACAAGUGUAAGCUUUCCACAGAGCUUUCACCCUGUGAAACGCCUCCAAAAGGUCAGCCUCUUCAUGCUGCCUCCACUGCUGUGCUCCGCAGGGAAGCUGAAGGAUGGAAAACACCGAGGUGGGACCUGUGGAAGAGACCCAAGGUCAGGCUUCUGCUUUCUGGGGAGACGCCGAGGUAUGACCUACAAUGGGACAAAUCCCCUCUGCAGGGAGAACGGUGGCAUCUGGCAGACAAACUCCCUGCACUUCCACCAGCCAUCAGGUGACUCACGGCUGCCCAGAAGACGCCUGGCCUGGGAUUUUGGGAGAGCUCUACAUCGAGGAAGAAGUUUUAGCCAGCAGAGAAAUGAGCUGGUGAGAGUGUGAGGUCCCUGCAGGUCACUUCUCCUCCUACAGCUGCAGGCCGAGAUGGGGCAGGACCAGGCCUAACAUGCCCCAGGCUCCCAGGGAAGGCAGCCCUGGUUUCAGCACUCCUCUUUGCCUCGAUAUCCACACACGUGCAGCUCUCUGUACUGCAGCCAGCAGGGAGCAGCUACGGCAUGGCUGAGCUCAUCGCAGAGGAGCGCGUGGUGGAAAAGCUGUGCCCCCCACCCCAAGCUGCUCCAAGACAUCCCGUGCCACACAGCAGACAGGGCUGGGAGAAACAGUCAGCCUUGAAAGCAAGAAAAGAGAGCAAAUGUAAAUCGCAUAGCAAAUCCCCAGAGCCUGCUAUAGUCAUUUAUGCUUCUCCAAAGCAUUAAGCUACUAGUGAACCACUCAAACGCUGGGUAUCCAUGAAUUCCUAUGGCGUGAGCAGCUGGAGGAUGAAUGGUCCAGCAGGGACUCCAAAAACACCCAGAACAGUUGUACAAGAGGAGGCAAGGUUGUCUUUCUCCAGCCCUUUCCUGACCCUUACCUCAUUUCCAAGACAAGGAUCUAUGAAAACACAGCAGUCAAAGAACAGAAUCGUCAAAAGCACAAAGCAUUUUAAUGAGGCGAAACAUCCUGCUAAGUCUUUCAGUUUAUUGGUGUUGAGCAUGUUCCAAGCCCUAAGAAAAGGACUCAGAAAAACUAUUAAAAUAGUUGGCUUACGGGACCUGCAAUGUAAGCAUGAUUAAAAUUGAUCUGACUCCAUUUUGGCCUAUGAGAGCUUAUCAUCUACAGGAAUCAGUUUUUCGGAAGUAAAGUAACUGUCUCAAAUAAGAGGUGUCCAGUUGAGCUUAGGGUGCAACAGCAUUGCCCAGUGCUGGGAAUAAAAGCAGAUACGAAGUUUGGCCACGAUAUAGCAGUGACUGGAUCCUGUGUCCAGCUGAGGAAAUCGAUACCAGUGCUCUCCUCCAUGCCCAUGGGCAGGUCCUGGUGAGUCUGGACACCUUCUGUCCUGGUCCAAAGGCCACCAGAAGCUGUGGGAAGGAUCCUGUUGCCGACAGUGAGUUUUUUAAUAUCAUCUAUCAUUCAUCAUGGUCUGGAAUGUGUGGCUACUCCAGUAGCCUAAGCACGGAGAGGAGCUUAAGAGUCAUCAUGCUCUCUCAUGCAUCUCGCUUUGAUGGAUCCAGGAACUACACAACCUCUUCUGGACAGGGCUGGGAGCAGUGAAAGUGGAUGACUGCUGAUCUAGGUGAACCCAUCCGUCUGUCUGUAUGAUUUGAUAUCUGGAGCAUUCCCUCACCCUCAGUUCUCCUUCCUGGGCUGUGGGAAAAGGGAUGGCAAAUUUAGAGAUAUGGGAGAAAAAAGUGGUAAGCCCCCAGUCUGCUCCUGCCAGACAGGAGAGGAGAAGUGGAAACCCUGGGACACCUGGCUCCUUGAAAGAUAGAUGCUGGACUGAAGAAGCAAACCAUCUGGGCUGGGACACACACGUUUUCUGCUCCUUGGGCUGUGUGACCAACGCGCAGUUUGGUUGGACCCCAUCCAAGCACUCACCUGGUACUCAGGAAGAAGAGAAACUGAAGACAAAAAUGGAGGAGGAGGCAGAAGUGUCUGUUUCUGUGUGUCUAGUUCUCCACAAGGAGUGUGACGCGGUCACUUACAGUCGUGAAGAGGAGGUGGGGACAGCCACCUUUGUCACAGCACUGUGUGCCAGUGAGGCUGGACAUGGGGUGAUCCCAAAGCCCUGUCUCCUUUCUUCCAGCACCCCCGUAAAUACACGCCUCCCACUAAGUCCUAAUGUGUCGAACUCUGCUCAUUGCCACCAACUGCCAGCUAUUUGCUUUCUCUAAUUUUGUUUUGCAUCCACAAAUGAAUACCAGCUCUUCCACGCCUCCUGGGACACCGUGGUGGUAAGCGCUGACACCAUCCCGCUCAGAGCACGAGCCGUGAUGCAUCUCGACGCCUGGCCAAGCAAAACUUCUCUGUAAAAGUGCUGCGAACUCACAGCUAUUGCUAGCAGCUUUCCGUGCAGUCUGUGUGUAUCUUCUUGCAAUGUAUAAUCUUACCCAGAAUGGUUUUGAAAGACUGAGAACUUGAUCCUGCCAAAAAUAGUCUGUGCAGCCAAAACAAAUCAACAGAGGAUCUUUAGCAUUUGUGCUGGCCUGCGAGUUACAUUUUUCACCUUUUUCAAAUGAUACGUUUCUUGACAUCAAUGAAACCUUCAUUUGACUUGUAAACCCCCUAAUUAUUCUUUCAAGUGUGACAAACAGUAUUUUAAUUAUAACGUCAGGGCUCAGUAAGCAAUUAGCUUCACGGGCGUAGCAGAAAAGACACACCACCAGGGACUUUAGCCCUAAAAGCGCCUGUGUGCAGGCUGGCAGAUGUAUCCUAAGAAUUUGUUUAUUUGCAUUUGGUUUAUGUGGUUUUGGUGACCUUUCGUUCAAAUCAGCCAGUGACUUACAGGAGGCGAGCUGCAUACUCACUGAAAAGAAAUGCGGUAAAAUAAUCUAGCCCGGGCCUUUCUGCUGAAUAUCACAUUUCUGCUGAAUAUCACAUCCCCGCGUCAAAGGCAGGGAUGGCUGAGGCUAAGGGUAAAGGGACACGGUCCAUGGAUGGGGUGGCUGCAGGGACGUUGCCCCCACAUUCCUGGUGGAGAACAGCAGCCCAGAUGUGGGUUAUCAGAUAUAAGGCCUGGCUGGCUGGGUGCAUCCUACAGGGGGAAAGGGGGCAGAGAAAGGCUUCAGUCCCUUACUGGGACGAGGUAAUGUGAUGCCUAAGCCCAUGCAACGUGGUUUCCACGUAGGCUGGACCCAAGGCAGAACCUUUUGCCCUUUGAGGUCCUCAGAGGUUUGUUUGGAGGCCACACUUCCUACCUCAUUUUGAGGGGUAGGUGAAUGUGUAGGUCACCUAUGGGCCUGGCACCGUCAGAGGCUGUUUUAUGGCCGGGGAGUGCCACGCAGGCUGCCUGCUUGCCUCACCGGGAAAGGCCAUCAACAUUUUCAUUGGGAGUGGGCUGUAUUUCAGGAUGCAUAUCACUGAAACCCAGGCAAGGGUGGCUCUGCAUGAGAAAAUACCACAAGUACAAGAGAUAACACUGCACUGGUCAUCUUUGAGCCAUCAGGAGAUAACAGUGCUUUGCUCUCAGCAACCUGAACCGUGAGGGUGUUAUUGCUGCUGUCAACAGGUUAUUUAUUUUAAGGGAAUAAACGAGGUUUGUUGUUGAAAUG
Molecule: non-coding RNA, 5458 nt
Organism: Anas platyrhynchos (mallard)
Lineage: Eukaryota; Metazoa; Chordata; Aves; Anseriformes; Anatidae
Source: RefSeq, a predicted model, not a curated record